RNAcentral lists this long non-coding RNA (503 nucleotides) under Fragaria vesca (wild strawberry). Its description in RNAcentral is "long non-coding RNA (FVES_LNC001123)". Lineage: Eukaryota; Viridiplantae; Streptophyta; Magnoliopsida; Rosales; Rosaceae. The record is from RNAcentral.
GUGUCGCACAACCGUCGGCUGAUCGCACACGUGACACAGACACAGAAGUAUCUCUCUUGUUUGAGGCCAUGACGCGCCUUUUGGAGCGUGAAACCACGAGGCGCCACAUAGCAAAUAUCAUAGUGGUGUAAAUUGCAUUAGCUGUUACUAACCACAAUGUUAUGUCUUGAUCUAAGACCUAACAUCGAUGAAGCAUAAGUAUAUAGUCUACGUGGCUCAAUUCAUAUGCAAUCAUAGGUCAAGGUAAUGAUUACUACUCAUAUUUACUUAGUUUUCAACAGUAAGAGUGAACCCAAUUGAACAAAUCAAUGUGCAUCUUUUGUCACUAGAAUCAAUCAAGUCUACAAGACAACUACAACUGACACCGGAGUCCGGCCUCGUCCCGUUGUGAAUCCCCUGGUUCCAUCAGGCAUUCUGGGGCCAGGUGGUGGCUUUGAAGGUUCAAUUGGAUGAGCAGACGAAGUAGUUCCGUGGCCUGGAGAGAAAGAUGAUAUCAAUUUAGA